This 2923-nucleotide ribosomal RNA is filed under the name Escherichia coli. RNAcentral's name for it is "LSU rRNA". It matches the Rfam family "Bacterial large subunit ribosomal RNA". The record is from RNAcentral. Lineage: Bacteria; Pseudomonadati; Pseudomonadota; Gammaproteobacteria; Enterobacterales; Enterobacteriaceae. RNAcentral also lists the same sequence under 2 other names.
GGUUAAGCGACUAAGCGUACACGGUGGAUGCCCUGGCAGUCAGAGGCGAUGAAGGACGUGCUAAUCUGCGAUAAGCGUCGGUAAGGUGAUAUGAACCGUUAUAACCGGCGAUUUCCGAAUGGGGAAACCCAGUGUGUUUCGACACACUAUCAUUAACUGAAUCCAUAGGUUAAUGAGGCGAACCGGGGGAACUGAAACAUCUAAGUACCCCGAGGAAAAGAAAUCAACCGAGAUUCCCCCAGUAGCGGCGAGCGAACGGGGAGCAGCCCAGAGCCUGAAUCAGUGUGUGUGUUAGUGGAAGCGUCUGGAAAGGCGCGCGAUACAGGGUGACAGCCCCGUACACAAAAAUGCACAUACUGUGAGCUCGAUGAGUAGGGCGGGACACGUGGUAUCCUGUCUGAAUAUGGGGGGACCAUCCUCCAAGGCUAAAUACUCCUGACUGACCGAUAGUGAACCAGUACCGUGAGGGAAAGGCGAAAAGAACCCCGGCGAGGGGAGUGAAAAAGAACCUGAAACCGUGUACGUACAAGCAGUGGGAGCCUCUUUUAUGGGGUGACUGCGUACCUUUUGUAUAAUGGGUCAGCGACUUAUAUUCUGUAGCAAGGUUAACCGAAUAGGGGAGCCGAAGGGAAACCGAGUCUUAACCGGGCGUUAAGUUGCAGGGUAUAGACCCGAAACCCGGUGAUCUAGCCAUGGGCAGGUUGAAGGUUGGGUAACACUAACUGGAGGACCGAACCGACUAAUGUUGAAAAAUUAGCGGAUGACUUGUGGCUGGGGGUGAAAGGCCAAUCAAACCGGGAGAUAGCUGGUUCUCCCCGAAAGCUAUUUAGGUAGCGCCUCGUGAAUUCAUCUCCGGGGGUAGAGCACUGUUUCGGCAAGGGGGUCAUCCCGACUUACCAACCCGAUGCAAACUGCGAAUACCGGAGAAUGUUAUCACGGGAGACACACGGCGGGUGCUAACGUCCGUCGUGAAGAGGGAAACAACCCAGACCGCCAGCUAAGGUCCCAAAGUCAUGGUUAAGUGGGAAACGAUGUGGGAAGGCCCAGACAGCCAGGAUGUUGGCUUAGAAGCAGCCAUCAUUUAAAGAAAGCGUAAUAGCUCACUGGUCGAGUCGGCCUGCGCGGAAGAUGUAACGGGGCUAAACCAUGCACCGAAGCUGCGGCAGCGACACUGUGUGUUGUUGGGUAGGGGAGCGUUCUGUAAGCCUGUGAAGGUGUACUGUAAGGUAUGCUGGAGGUAUCAGAAGUGCGAAUGCUGACAUAAGUAACGAUAAAGCGGGUGAAAAGCCCGCUCGCCGGAAGACCAAGGGUUCCUGUCCAACGUUAAUCGGGGCAGGGUGAGUCGACCCCUAAGGCGAGGCCGAAAGGCGUAGUCGAUGGGAAACAGGUUAAUAUUCCUGUACUUGGUGUUACUGCGAAGGGGGGACGGAGAAGGCUAUGUUGGCCGGGCGACGGUUGUCCCGGUUUAAGCGUGUAGGCUGGUUUUCCAGGCAAAUCCGGAAAAUCAAGGCUGAGGCGUGAUGACGAGGCACUACGGUGCUGAAGCAACAAAUGCCCUGCUUCCAGGAAAAGCCUCUAAGCAUCAGGUAACAUCAAAUCGUACCCCAAACCGACACAGGUGGUCAGGUAGAGAAUACCAAGGCGCUUGAGAGAACUCGGGUGAAGGAACUAGGCAAAAUGGUGCCGUAACUUCGGGAGAAGGCACGCUGAUAUGUAGGUGAAGUCCCUCGCGGAUGGAGCUGAAAUCAGUCGAAGAUACCAGCUGGCUGCAACUGUUUAUUAAAAACACAGCACUGUGCAAACACGAAAGUGGACGUAUACGGUGUGACGCCUGCCCGGUGCCGGAAGGUUAAUUGAUGGGGUCAGCGCAAGCGAAGCUCUUGAUCGAAGCCCCGGUAAACGGCGGCCGUAACUAUAACGGUCCUAAGGUAGCGAAAUUCCUUGUCGGGUAAGUUCCGACCUGCACGAAUGGCGUAAUGAUGGCCAGGCUGUCUCCACCCGAGACUCAGUGAAAUUGAACUCGCUGUGAAGAUGCAGUGUACCCGCGGCAAGACGGAAAGACCCCGUGAACCUUUACUAUAGCUUGACACUGAACAUUGAGCCUUGAUGUGUAGGAUAGGUGGGAGGCUUUGAAGUGUGGACGCCAGUCUGCAUGGAGCCGACCUUGAAAUACCACCCUUUAAUGUUUGAUGUUCUAACGUGGACCCGUGAUCCGGGUUGCGGACAGUGUCUGGUGGGUAGUUUGACUGGGGCGGUCUCCUCCUAAAGAGUAACGGAGGAGCACGAAGGUUGGCUAAUCCUGGUCGGACAUCAGGAGGUUAGUGCAAUGGCAUAAGCCAGCUUGACUGCGAGCGUGACGGCGCGAGCAGGUGCGAAAGCAGGUCAUAGUGAUCCGGUGGUUCUGAAUGGAAGGGCCAUCGCUCAACGGAUAAAAGGUACUCCGGGGAUAACAGGCUGAUACCGCCCAAGAGUUCAUAUCGACGGCGGUGUUUGGCACCUCGAUGUCGGCUCAUCACAUCCUGGGGCUGAAGUAGGUCCCAAGGGUAUGGCUGUUCGCCAUUUAAAGUGGUACGCGAGCUGGGUUUAGAACGUCGUGAGACAGUUCGGUCCCUAUCUGCCGUGGGCGCUGGAGAACUGAGGGGGGCUGCUCCUAGUACGAGAGGACCGGAGUGGACGCAUCACUGGUGUUCGGGUUGUCAUGCCAAUGGCACUGCCCGGUAGCUAAAUGCGGAAGAGAUAAGUGCUGAAAGCAUCUAAGCACGAAACUUGCCCCGAGAUGAGUUCUCCCUGACCCUUUAAGGGUCCUGAAGGAACGUUGAAGACGACGACGUUGAUAGGCCGGGUGUGUAAGCGCAGCGAUGCGUUGAGCUAACCGGUACUAAUGAACCGUGAGGCUUAACCUUACAACGCCGAAGGUGUUUUG